UCCCGCAAUUGGUUUGAGAAUAGCCGGAGGUACAGUAAGUACACUGCAGAGAAGAAUCUUGGGCAAUGCUCGAAAGAGUGACCUAGCUAACCAGAACUUUAGUAAUAAAGUGUCGUAAGGGAGGAUAAUGACGUUACCUUACUAAAAGUCCAAUCUAAGUAUCGUGCCAGCAGAUGCGGUUACACGAACUGGGCAAACGUUAAACAAAUGAAUAGGAUUAAGGAUCCGUAGGCUGUUUCUGCAAUCUGCAAUUUUACAAAUUGCAGAGCUUCAAAACUAAGAAUCAAAUAGAGGAGAAUAGAAUACUAGAAGUAGAGUUGAUAUUUGUUGAUCUCUAGUGGAAUACUCCAGGCGAAAGCAAUUCUCUGGCUAAUGAUUGACGCUGAGGGAUGAAAGCACGGGUAGCAAAAUGGAUUAGAUACCCAAGUAGUCCGUGCCGUAAACAAUUUACACUUCUUAUUUAGCACAUGUUAGGUAAUAAGCAAAUGCUGUAAGUGUAACACCUUGUAAGUACAGCCCCAAGGCAGAAAGCAAAAAGAUUAGAUCAUCCUAAAAACCCGGAGUGGAGCAUGUUAUUUAAUUCGAUAACCCGCGUAAAAUCUUACCUCUUCUUGAAUAUAUAUUCUUCCAUUCGGUUGAAUAUAUACAGGUGCUGCAUGAUACAGGUGCUGCAUGGCUGUCGACAGUUCGUGUCGUGAGACGUUAGGUUUGGUCCACAAACGGAUGUAACCCCUACUUAUUCAUUAAUACAGUUAUAAUAAGUAUAGUUCUCUGACAACGAGAACUAGAUAAAAGGGAAUACGACAAGCCCUCAUGGUCCUUAUGAAGUAUGGGCUAUAGACGUGCUACAUGAAUUCAACAAACUGAGGCAAUAUUAAUCAGUAAAAUAGAAUAUAGUUUAUAAGGCGAUUGUAGUCUGAAAUUCGACUGCAUGAAUCAGGAAUUCCGAGUAAUCGUUGAUUAGAAUGCAACGGUGAAUAAAUACAUUUAGGAGGUACUAACCGUCCAUCACAUGCCGCUCAUCGGUCAAGUCUGUAAUCUGUCACAAAUUAAAUGUUUAAUUUAGUUAUAGUAAUAUAUAAUUUCAUAUAAUUUAAAGUAGAGACAUUGAAAGGCUUCCGGUUCGUGGGAUGAAGUUG
RNAcentral lists this ribosomal RNA (1139 nucleotides) under Phalaenopsis equestris. Its description in RNAcentral is "bacterial SSU rRNA". It matches the Rfam family "Bacterial small subunit ribosomal RNA", at positions 306 to 1488 of the family's 1533-position model. The record is from RNAcentral. Lineage: Eukaryota; Viridiplantae; Streptophyta; Magnoliopsida; Asparagales; Orchidaceae.